UUCUUCAUAGGCUGCUCAUAGUCGGCGUAGCAGUCUGUCCCAGUCAUCACACAGCAUGGACAUAAGGAUCCCUGCUCAGCUCCUGGGGCUCCUGCUGCUCUGGCUCCCAGAUGCGAGGUGUGGCAUCCAGAUGACCCAGUCCCCAUCCACCUUGUCUGCAUCUGUAGGAGGAACAGCCACCAUCACUUGCAGAGCAGUGGAAACAUUUAUAGCUAUUUAGCCUGGUACCAGCAGAAACUAGGUAAAGCCCCUAAACUCCUGAUCUAUGGUAGUAGUACUUUGGCAUCUGGUGUUCCAUCCAGGUUCAGUGGCAGUGGAUCUGGGACAGAUUAUUCUCUCACCAUCAGCAGCCUGCAGCCUGAAGAUGUUGCCACUUAUUACUGUCAACAGCAUAUGAACUUUCCUCCCACAGUGAUAUAAGCCAUGACAAAAACCUACCAGGGAAGCAGAAGUGAGAGUCUGAGCUGCCCCAGCUGCUCCUCCUGGUGCCUCCACCUGCUGACAGAGCUGCUCAUAUAUAGACAAUAUAGACUUGAAGAGUGUGAA
Molecule: long non-coding RNA, 546 nt
Organism: Dipodomys ordii (Ord's kangaroo rat)
Lineage: Eukaryota; Metazoa; Chordata; Mammalia; Rodentia; Heteromyidae
Exons: 2
Source: RefSeq, a predicted model, not a curated record